GACGAACGCUGGCGGCGUGCUUAACACAUGCAAGUCGAACGGAAAGGCCCUGCUUUUGUGGGGUGCUCGAGUGGCGAACGGGUGAGUAACACGUGAGUAACCUGCCCUUGACUUUGGGAUAACUUCAGGAAACUGGGGCUAAUACCGGAUAGCAGAUCCUGCUGCAUGGUGGGGGUUGGAAAGUUUCGGCGGUUGGGGAUGGACUCGCGGCUUAUCAGCUUGUUGGUGGGGUAGUGGCUUACCAAGGCGUUGACGGGUAGCCGGCCUGAGAGGGUGACCGGCCACAUUGGGACUGAGAUACGGCGCAGACUCCUACGGGAGGCAGCAGUGGGGAAUAUUGCACAAUGGGCGGAAGCCUGAUGCAGCAACGCCGCGUGCGGGAUGACGGCCUGCGGGUUGUAAACCGCUUUCGCCUGUGACGAAGCGUGAGUGACGGUAAUGGGUAAAGAAGCACCGGCUAACUACGUG
This 468-nucleotide ribosomal RNA is filed under the name uncultured bacterium. RNAcentral describes it as "partial 16S ribosomal RNA". It matches the Rfam family "Bacterial small subunit ribosomal RNA", at positions 28 to 507 of the family's 1533-position model. The record is from RNAcentral.